GAGGAAUAUUGGUCAAUGGACGCAAGUCUGAACCAGCCACGUCGCGUGAAGGAAGACGGCCCUACGGGUUGUAAACUUCUUUUGUAAGGGAAUAAAGUGCAGUACGCGUACUGUUUUGCAUGUACCUUACGAAUAAGGAUCGGCUAACUCCGUGCCAGCAGCCGCGGUAAUACGGAGGAUCCGAGCGUUAUCCGGAUUUAUUGGGUUUAAAGGGUGCGCAGGCGGGAGAUUAAGUCGGCGGUGAAAUUUUGCAGCUCAACUGUAACAGUGCCUUCGAAACUGGUUUCCUUGAGUGUGGAUGAAGUAGGCGGAAUUUGUGGUGUAGCGGUGAAAUGCAUAGAUAUCACGAGGAACUCCGAUUGCGCAGGCAGCUUACUAAGCCAUAACUGACGCUCAGGCACGAAGGCGUGGGGAUCAAAC
RNAcentral lists this ribosomal RNA (420 nucleotides) under uncultured bacterium. Its description in RNAcentral is "bacterial SSU rRNA". It matches the Rfam family "Bacterial small subunit ribosomal RNA", at positions 356 to 773 of the family's 1533-position model. The record is from RNAcentral.